UACGAAGGGGACUAGCGUUGUUCGGAAUCACUGGGCGUAAAGCGCACGUAGGCGGUCUGUUAUGUCGGAUGUGAAAGCCCUUGGCUUAACUGAGGAAGUGCAUCCGAAACUGGCAGGCUAGAGUACUAAAGAGGGUCGCGGAAUUCCCGGUGUAGAGGUGAAAUUCGUAGAUAUCGGGAGGAACACCGGUGGCGAAGGCGGCGACCUGGGUAGAUACUGACGCUGAGGUGCGAAAGCGUGGGGAGCAAACAGG
RNAcentral lists this ribosomal RNA (253 nucleotides) under uncultured bacterium. Its description in RNAcentral is "partial 16S ribosomal RNA". It matches the Rfam family "Bacterial small subunit ribosomal RNA", at positions 524 to 776 of the family's 1533-position model. The record is from RNAcentral.